GACGAACGCUGGCGGCGUGCUUAACACAUGCAAGUCGAACGGAAAGGCCCCUUUGUGGGUACUCGAGUGGCUAACGGGUGAGUAACACGUGAGUAACCUGCCCUUGACUUCGGGAUAACUUCAGGAAACUGGGGCUAAUACCGGAUAGGAAUCCUUGCUGCAUGGUGGGGGUUGGAAAGCUUCGGCGGUUUUGGAUGGACUCGCGGCUUAUCAGCUUGUUGGUGGGGUAGUGGCUUACCAAGGCUUUGACGGGUAGCCGGCCUGAGAGGGCGACCGGCCACAUUGGGACUGAGAUACGGCCCAGACUCCUACGGGAGGCAGCAGUGGGGAAUAUUGCACAAUGGGCGGAAGCCUGAUGCAGCAACGCCGCGUGCGGGAUGACGGCCUUCGGGUUGUAAACCGCUUUCAGCAGGGGCGAAGCUUGUGGUGACGGUACCUGCAGAAGAAGCACCGGCUAACUACGUG
RNAcentral lists this ribosomal RNA (465 nucleotides) under uncultured bacterium. Its description in RNAcentral is "partial 16S ribosomal RNA". It matches the Rfam family "Bacterial small subunit ribosomal RNA", at positions 28 to 507 of the family's 1533-position model. The record is from RNAcentral.